UUUCUCGUGGUGCGCCGCAGCAGCGCGGUAAUCCAGCUAAAAUUAACGGUUAAAUCAAGUUGUUGUGGUUAAAAGCUCGUAGUUGAACCUUGGGCCUGGCUGGCCGGUCCGCUUCACCAAAGUGCACUGGUCCGGCCGGGCCUUUCCCUCUGCGGAACCCCAUGCCCUUCACUGGGUGUGGCGGGGAAACAGGACUUUUACUUUGAAAAAAUUAGAGUGCUCAAGGCAGGCCUAUGCUCGAAUACAUUAGCAUGGAAUAAUAGAAUAGGACGUGUGGUUCUAUUUUGUUGGUUUCUAGGACCGCCGUAAUGAUUAAUAGGGACAGUCGGGGGCAUCAGUAUUCAAUUGUCAGAGGUGAAAUUCUUGGAUUUAUUGAAGACUAACUACUGCGAAAGCAUUUGCCAAGGAUGUUUUCAUUAAUCAGGAACGAAAGUUAGGGGAUCGAAGACGAUCAGAUACCGUCGUAGUCUUAACCAUAAAACUAUGCCGACUAGGGGAUCGGACGAUGUUACAUUUUUUGACGCGUUCGGCACCCUUACGAGAAAAUCAAAGUGCUUGGGGCUCCAGGGGGGAGUUAUGGUCGCAAGGGCUGAAACUUUAAAGAAAUUGGACGGAAGGGCCACCACCCAGGGGUGGGAGCCUGCGGCCUAAUUUUGACUUCAACACGGGGAAACCUCCCAGGGUCCAGAACACAAUGAGGGAUUGAAAGAUUGAAAACCUCUUUUCUUUAAUUUUGGGGGUGGUGGGUGGAUGGCCCUUCCUUAAGUUUGGGGGAAAGGGAUUUGUCUGGUUUAAUGCGAUAACAAACGGAAACCCUUAACCUGGUUAAUAAGCCCGUUAUGCUUUGGGCAGAUACGGUUGGCUUCUUAAAGGGAAUUUUCGGCUCUAGACGCAUGGAAAUUUGGAGGCAUUACACGGGUCAUUAUUGGCCCUCUUUAGAAA
RNAcentral lists this ribosomal RNA (942 nucleotides) under Trichoderma minutisporum. RNAcentral describes it as "bacterial SSU rRNA". It matches the Rfam family "Eukaryotic small subunit ribosomal RNA", at positions 533 to 1479 of the family's 1831-position model. Lineage: Eukaryota; Fungi; Ascomycota; Sordariomycetes; Hypocreales; Hypocreaceae. The record is from RNAcentral.